RNAcentral lists this long non-coding RNA (334 nucleotides) under Solanum tuberosum (potato). RNAcentral describes it as "long non-coding RNA (STUB_LNC010737)". The record is from RNAcentral. Lineage: Eukaryota; Viridiplantae; Streptophyta; Magnoliopsida; Solanales; Solanaceae.
CAAGACCGAACCAGUAUGACUACAGUCUGACAUACAAGAUAAGUGCACCAAACUCCAAUAUAAUUGACAACAACGUCAGUAGCUUGUUCCGCACCUGAUGCAAGCAAAAUGUAGAUGAGACAUAGAAUGGGAAAGUUCGUCGAAACCCAAAAUGAGGAAACUAAAAUAUGUGACUGAUACAUUAACUCACGUAUAGACCAUUUAUUCAAUCACACCAUCAAUUCCAAAGAAAUUUCUCCAUAACAUCAAAAGGGGAAAGCUUUAAGAACUAAAAUUAUCAAAUAACGGAGCAUAACAAAUCCCCAAUUAUGAUACAACAGAAAAUAUAUUGUUA